UACGAAAGGGGCUAGCGUUGUUCGGAAUUACUGGGAGUAAAGCGCACGUAGGCGGCCUUGUAAGAUGGGGGUGAAAUCCCCGGGCUCAACCCGGGAACUGACUUCAUGACUGCAAAGCUAGAGGAUGCGAGAGGUUAGCGGAAUUCCGAGUGUAGAGGUGAAAUUCGUAGUUAUUCGGAAGAACACCAGUGGCGAAGGCGGCUAACUGGCGCAUUUCUGACGCUGAGGUGCGAAAGCGUGGGGAGCAAACAGG
Molecule: ribosomal RNA, 253 nt
Filed under: uncultured bacterium
Lineage: Bacteria
Description: partial 16S ribosomal RNA
Rfam family: Bacterial small subunit ribosomal RNA
Source: RNAcentral